RNAcentral lists this ribosomal RNA (440 nucleotides) under uncultured bacterium. Its description in RNAcentral is "partial 16S ribosomal RNA". It matches the Rfam family "Bacterial small subunit ribosomal RNA", at positions 338 to 795 of the family's 1533-position model. The record is from RNAcentral.
CCUACGGGUGGCAGCAGUGGGGGAUAUUGCACAAUGGAGGAAACUCUGAUGCAGCGACGCCGCGUGUGGGAAGACGGUCCUCUGGAUUGUAAACCACUGUCCCCAGGGACGAAGAUGACGGUACCUGGGGAGGAAGCUCCGGCUAACUACGUGCCAGCCGCCGCGGUAAUACGUAGGGGGCGAGCGUUUUCCGGAAUUACUGGGGGUAAAGGGAGCGUAGGCGGUGAUGCAAGUUGGGUGUCAAAACUACCGGCUAAACUGGUAGUCGCACUUAAAACUGCAGCUCUUGAGUGAAGUAGAGGCAGGCGGAAUGCAUAGUGUAGCGGUGAAAUGCGUAGAUAUUAGGAGGAACACCAGUGGCGAAGGCGGCCUGCUGAGCUUUUACUGACGCUGAGGCUCGAAAGUGUGGGGAGCAAACAGGAUUAGAUACCCCGGUAGUC